Arachis ipaensis is the source of this 234-nucleotide non-coding RNA. The record is from RefSeq and is a predicted model, not a curated record. NCBI's taxonomy places the organism in Eukaryota, Viridiplantae, Streptophyta, Magnoliopsida, Fabales, Fabaceae.
AUGUUCAAAUCACCUAAAAAGAAUAGGAGGAGAUCCCAGGAUCCUGAUUCAUCACCUUUUAAUAAUUCAAAUGAUGGACAUGUGUACAAUAUGCAAAGCAAAGAGGAUUCUACAUUUCUUCAACCUCCACUAAAAAGUUUCACCCUGUCACCUUUUUUCACUAGAACACCACCCAAGAAGCUAACAGAGGAUUUAUUCCCAUCCAUCAUACACAACACACCUGAGAGAAGAAAA